This is a non-coding RNA of Apodemus sylvaticus (European woodmouse), 550 nucleotides long. NCBI's taxonomy places the organism in Eukaryota, Metazoa, Chordata, Mammalia, Rodentia, Muridae. The record is from the annotation of a RefSeq genome assembly.
UCCACAGUCCCUGAACACAUUGACUCUAACCAUGGAAUGGUGCUGGUUUUUUUUCUUCCUCCUGUCAUUAGCUGCAGAUGUCCACUGCCAGAUUCAGCUGCAGCAGUCUGGAGCUGAGCUCGUGAAGCCUGGGUCUUCAAUGAAGUUAUCCUGCAAGGCUUCUGGCUACACCUUCAGCAAUAGCUAUAUGAGUUGGCUGAAGCAGAGGCCUGGACAGAGUCUUGAGUGGAUUGCAUGGAUUUAUCCUGGAAGUGGUGGUACCAGCUAUAAUCAGAAGUUCAAGGGCAAGGCCACACUGACUGCAGACAAAUCCUCUAGCACAGCCUACAUGGAGCUCAGCAGCCUGACAUCUGAGGAUUCGGCAGUCUAUUACUGUGCAAGGCACAGUGUUAUAACCACAUCCUCAGUGGAUCCGAAGCAACCUGGGCCACUCACCCCAUCACCAAACAGUGCAGAGGGCCAGCGGUACAUCUGGAGGCCAGCCACAGGGAGGCGCCUUGCUCAGGUUGGAAACAUCAGUGGUCAACAAGAGCAGGGGCAGAUCAGUUAA